UACGGGGGGGAGCAAGCGUUGUUCGGAUUUACUGGGCGUAAAGGGGCGCGUAGGCGGUCGUGACAAGUCACUUGUGAAAUCUCCGGGCUUAACUCGGAACGGUCAAGUGAUACUGUCGGACUAGAGUACAGAAGGGGCAACUGGAAUUCUCGGUGUAGCGGUGAAAUGCGUAGAUAUCAAGAGGAACACCAGUGGCGAAGGCGAGUCCCUGGACAACACCUGACACUGAGGCACGAAAGCUAGGGGAGCAAACAGG
RNAcentral lists this ribosomal RNA (256 nucleotides) under uncultured bacterium. Its description in RNAcentral is "partial 16S ribosomal RNA". It matches the Rfam family "Bacterial small subunit ribosomal RNA", at positions 524 to 776 of the family's 1533-position model. The record is from RNAcentral.